RNAcentral lists this ribosomal RNA (403 nucleotides) under Verrucomicrobiota bacterium. RNAcentral's name for it is "Verrucomicrobia bacterium partial 16S ribosomal RNA". It matches the Rfam family "Bacterial small subunit ribosomal RNA", at positions 355 to 776 of the family's 1533-position model. The record is from RNAcentral. Lineage: Bacteria; Pseudomonadati; Verrucomicrobiota.
UGGGGAAUAUUGCACAAUGGGCGCAAGCCUGAUGCAGCAACGCCGCGUGAACGAUGAAGGUCUUCGGAUCGUAAAGUUCUGUUGCAGGGGAAGAUAAUGACGGUACCCUGUGAGGAAGCCCCGGCUAACUACGUGCCAGCAGCCGCGGUAAUACGUGGGGGGCUAGCGUUAUCCGGAUUUACUGGGCGUAAAGGGUGCGUAGGUGGUCUUUCAAGUCGGUGGUUAAAGGCUACGGCUCAACCGUAGUUAGCCUCCGAAACUGGAAGACUUGAGUGCAGGAGAGGAAAGUGGAAUUCCCAGUAUAGCGGUGAAAGGCGUAGAUAUUGGGAGGAACACCAGUAGCGAAGGCGGCUUUAUGGACUGCAACAGACACUGAGGCACGAAAGCGUGGGUAGCAAACAGG